Branchiostoma belcheri (Belcher's lancelet) is the source of this 589-nucleotide long non-coding RNA. RefSeq lists it as uncharacterized. Lineage: Eukaryota; Metazoa; Chordata; Leptocardii; Amphioxiformes; Branchiostomatidae. The transcript has 3 exons. The record is from RefSeq and is a predicted model, not a curated record.
CUGCUGGUGAAGAGAAAGGGCGAAGUUGGUCCUGUCGAAAGCUCUCUAACUCUAGCAGCGGGCCAGACAUGCGUAUGGCCACCUGGUAUGCAGUCACCUGGCAACGUUUGUAUAACCGCCUGAUUUGUUGCUACCUCCUUAACUGAGAUGACUCCCUGCUCUCAUUGAGUAUAUCAUAAGCCUCCUUCCUCCUAAUUUGUGCUUCAUUUCCAAACUUUAUAACUGGUACAUUAUAUUCCAUUUUUACAAUUAACGCACCCCGACAAAAUUACUGGCACAGUGCAAUGGCUAAUGCUUUGGAUGAUACAUUGGCGAGCAUACAAGACCAUGGAGGGUAUGCAAGUUGGUACCUUUUCUGUGUAAUUUUAAUUGCGGUGAUCAUCUGCCUUAACUGCCUGAAAAGUAAAUGUAGAAGGUGUAGAAAAAAGCGCAAGGGCCCUCCACUUCGUACAGUCAUGACUCAACAAGACGAUUCGAAAAAAGAACGCUCACCUAAUCGCACUUCCGCAAGUGUGACGUGUACCCCAGGUGAAAAGGAUGAGUCCCGCCAGCCUCUUAUACAAGGCUGUCAGGACUCAUUACCACGGCC